GGCUACCUUGUUACUACUUAACCCCCCUUGCCAUGGACAGAUUCGAAUACCCCAAAAAGGAUAUCCUCGUCCACCCACGACUCGGAUGGUUUGACGGGCGGUGUGUGCAAGGAGCAGUGGCGCAUUCACCGCGAGAUGUUGAUUCGCGAUUACUACGGAUUCCAGCUUCAUGAGGGUGAGUUGCAACCCUCAAUCCGAACUAUGGAGCAGGUUUCGAGUUUACCGCCUCCUUUCGGAGUUGAAGACCCAUUGUCCUGUCCUUUGUAGCGCGCGUGUGGCCCAUGGGGAUUCAGGGCAUACUGACCUACCGUCGCCCUCCCCUUCCUCUGACUUUGCGCCAGCGGUCCCAUUAAUGUGCCUGCUAUCCGGGGAUAACAGUAGCAACUAACAGCGAGGGUCUCGUUCGUUAUCUGACUUAACAGAACGCUUUACAGUACGAACUGACGACGGCCAUGCACCACCUCUCUACCUUUUAAUCGAGUAAGGUCUUCAGCCUGACUCUCAUGCGGCAGUCUCCCCUGGUGAGUUUUCCGGCGUUGAAUCCAAUUAAACCGCACGCUCCACCCGUUGCGGUGCUCCCCCGCCAAUUCCUUUAAGUUUCAAUCUUGCGAUCGUACUCCCCAGGCAGUAGGUUUAACAACUUCUCUACGGCACUGGAUGCCCUCGUAAGACAUCCAACACCAAACCCACAGCGUUUACGCCCUGGACUACCGGGGUAUCUAAUCCCGUUUGCGCCCCAGGGUUUCGUUCCUUACCGUCGGAGUCGUUCUAGGUGGACGCCUUCGCCACCGGUGGUCCUUCAGGGAUUAAAGGAUUUCACCCCUCCCCCUGAAGUACCUCCACCCUCACCCGAUCCCAAGUUCAGCAGUCUCCCCGGAAGUCGGCUAGUUAAGCUAGUCGAUUUACCCAAAGAUUUACUGAACCGGCUACGAACGUUUUAGGCCCAAUAAUAACGAUCACCACUUGGGCUGCGGGUAUUACCGCGGCGGCUGGCACCCGUCUUACCCAGCCCUUAUUCUUCAUACUUUUUAGGUAUGAAAAAAGCCAACACUACGUGCUGGCACUUGGAGUUCCCUCGUCGUGGUUGCCCACAUUGCGAAGUUUUCGCGCCUGCUGCGCCCCGUAGGGCCUGGAUUCAUGUCUCAGAAUCCACCUCCGGGCUAUCGCUCUCACGACCCGUACCCGUCGUCGGCUAGUGGGUCCGUUACACCCACUACAACCUGAUAGGCCGCAGACUCACCCUUAGGCGCCGGAGCUUUCAGUCAAAAAGCGUUCCAGCAAUAAUGACCUAUGGGGAAUUACCCUCAAUUUCUCGAGGCUAUGCCCCACCUAAGGACAGAUUAUCCACGUGUUACUGAGCAUUGCGCCGGUGACCGAAGUCCCCUUGACUCGCAUGGCUUAAUCGAACACCAAUAGCAGUGACCUCCGGCAGGAUCAACCGGA
This 1443-nucleotide ribosomal RNA is filed under the name uncultured archaeon. Its description in RNAcentral is "16S ribosomal RNA". The record is from RNAcentral.